AUGACGGUUGACCAUCUUCAUGAGUUUGUCAACCUAUGGGAGAAGCUAUCUCAUGUUCUGCUAAUACCUGACACACCUGAUUCCAUCAAUUGGAAGCUCACCAAGGAUGGUCAUUAUUCAGCGGCAACAGCUUACAGCAUGCAAUUUCUUGGUUUAGUCGACAUGGACUUGCCUCGAAUUGUUUGGAGAACUUGGGCUCCCCCAAAAUGCAAGUUUUUCGCUUGGCUAGUCAUCAACAAUAGAAUCUAG
Molecule: ribosomal RNA, 249 nt
Filed under: Triticum aestivum (bread wheat)
Lineage: Eukaryota; Viridiplantae; Streptophyta; Magnoliopsida; Poales; Poaceae
Description: partial small subunit ribosomal RNA
Source: RNAcentral